CAGAGUAGUUCACCACUAUGGAGCAUAGUGGUACAUUCCUGAUCAGAGUAGUUCCACCACUAUGGAGCAUAGUGGUACAUUCCUGAUCAGAGUAUUCCACCACUAUGGAGCACAGUGGUACAUUCCUGAUCAACAGCUGUGUUUUGUCUCAAAUCCAAUCCAAACAUUCCAGGGUGUUCCAAUUAGGAACGGACAGUCCACUGCCCAGGCUUGGUUUGUCUUAUGGGUAUUCUUACUGUAUUCCUAGGCGUUGUUUGUCUUACAGGUAUUAUUACUGUAUUCCUAGGCGUUGUUUGUCUUACAGGUAUUAUUACUGUAUUCCUAGGCGUUGUUUGUCUUACAGGUAUUAUUACUGUAUUCCUAGUACAGUAAAGGAUGCAACAGCUAUCUGAAAUAAGUGAGAGAGCUAUUCCAAUGCUUUAGGAUGUUGAGUGUGGGUUGAAGAAGGUGAAACCUGGAUUGUUCUAGCAUUUUAUACUGUGUCUACAAAUGAGGAAGGUCAUUUAAGAGUGCUCCUAUGGGAUAAAAAAGAUAGGUGAGGGCAUCUUUGUUGCAUUUAAGAGGUAAAAAUAACCAGCUCCACUUAGAAAGAGCAUCUUUGUGAAUUAGCUAACCAGCAGCAUGAUAGGACACAUUUCAUUGGGAGUGUCAGGUAGACAAUGAAUAGGAAAUGGGAUACUGGGAAAGGGGGAUACCUAGUCAGUUGUACACCAUAACAUGUGAUUAUUGUUACAUUAUCUUGUGU
This is a long non-coding RNA of Oncorhynchus keta (chum salmon), 745 nucleotides long. RefSeq lists it as uncharacterized. The record is from RefSeq and is a predicted model, not a curated record. The transcript has 3 exons. Lineage: Eukaryota; Metazoa; Chordata; Actinopteri; Salmoniformes; Salmonidae.